RNAcentral lists this long non-coding RNA (299 nucleotides) under Physcomitrium patens. RNAcentral describes it as "long non-coding RNA (PPAT_LNC005969)". The record is from RNAcentral. Lineage: Eukaryota; Viridiplantae; Streptophyta; Bryopsida; Funariales; Funariaceae.
GUCUCUACAGUGACUUCUGGUGCUUGAAAAGAUUCAAGUAUGGUAUAAACCUCUCUUGAAUGAAUUUCAACAAUCUUAUCAUUAUCCCCUAACCCAAUAGAUGUAAUCAAUUCCAAUGAAUCUUCCAGUCCAUUUUCUUCAUAAACACCUAAAAUCCCCUCAUCAUCUUGCAAUGUACCUAACUUGCGUAAUUCUCCUUCAAUAUUAUAUAAUCUUUUUCUUUCUUUUCUUUUAAAAUCAUCAACUUUCUUACACAUAAUAUUUCCAUUCUCCAAUAUACCAAUAAAACUCGCAUCAAA